UACGGAGGGAGCUAGCGUUGUUCGGAAUCACUGGGCGUAAAGGGUGCGCAGGCGGAUUUUUAAGUCAGGGGUAAAAUCCCGAGGCUCAACCUCGGAACUGCCUUUGAUACUGGGGAUCUUGAGUCCGGAAGAGGUGAGUGGAACUGCGAGUGUAGAGGUGAAAUUCGUAGAUAUUCGCAAGAACACCGGUGGCGAAGGCGGCUCACUGGUCCGGAACUGACGCUGAGGCACGAAAGCGUGGGGAGCAAACAGG
Molecule: ribosomal RNA, 253 nt
Filed under: uncultured bacterium
Lineage: Bacteria
Description: partial 16S ribosomal RNA
Rfam family: Bacterial small subunit ribosomal RNA
Source: RNAcentral